GCUUACGGCCACACCGCCUGGUUCACGUCCGAUCUCGUUUGAUCUCGGAAAUUAAGAUAGGUUGGUCCUGGUUAGUACUUGGAUGGGAGACCGCCUGGGAAUACCAGGUGCUGUAAGCU
Molecule: ribosomal RNA, 119 nt
Organism: Scophthalmus maximus (turbot)
Lineage: Eukaryota; Metazoa; Chordata; Actinopteri; Pleuronectiformes; Scophthalmidae
Source: Ensembl